CCAAUAUGUAGCUAUGUGGUGUGUCCACAUUGGCGGGUUUUAAUUUAACCCGAUCCACUUAAGAUGUGGAUUGGAAUUUAUCCUAAUAAGUUUAGGAUAAGAAUAAAUCAUAUGUUUCUUAUUAGUUAAAAAACGUAUCUACUAGUGGAUAUCUAUUAUAUGUUAAUAGAUAUUCUGAUCCUUAUCCUAAUCUAUAUGAGAUUCAGGAUAUUUAGGGGUUCCGUUCUUCUAUAUAUACGCCCCCUUUCCUCUCCGGUAAAAGAGACAAUCGCAUACGAUGAACCCAUGAAAUAUCUUCCUUAUUCUCUCUCUUCUUCCUCUCUAGGAUUUCCACUACGUUCCCGGGGUUUCGGAGUGUGGACAUAGAAGAGGACUCUAGUAGCCCUCUUCGAUUGGCAUCCGUCGCAUCAGAUCCGAAAUUUGGAUCCGUGGCGUAAGGCGUACGCGUAGGAGAAGGCGAGAAACGUGGGAGAUCCAGAAGCAUCGAGACAAGGACGAUGCAAGAAGGCUUGUAAAACAAGCAAUCCGAUCCGAUUCGGGUUCCCGGAUACGUUGGCUAUCCGGUUUGUAAGUUUCCACUGUCCUAUUAUUUCCAACAAUUGGUAUCAGAGCCUGCAUGCUUGUUUUCGCCUUAUGAUCAUGUCUGUGAUGUUUUUAAGAUCGCAUUAGUUGAUCAAUUUUUUUGUAGAUUGGUUCUACAAUUUUUUAUUCAGUUUCUAUGUGAAAUCAAUUUAAAAGGAAAAGAAAAAUUAAAUUAGUUUUAAUUUUUUCUUUAAAUUGAUCAGGACAUGUGAUUUUUUUUAAUGUAUGUUAUAAUCUUUUCGUGCUUUAAAAAUAAUAAUGAUAAUAAUAAAAUCGCUGUUUUCGACCAAAGGGGGCUCAACGCGACCCGCUGCGGACGGUGGCGUACACCGCGCGGGCCCGGCCCGCUGCAGACGANGGCGCGCUGUGGGCGCAGUCUGCACCCGCGCGCACCCACUAGGGCCCGGCCCGCUGUAGGUGCGGUCUGCACCCGCGUGCACCCACGCGGGCCUGGACUGCUGCGGGAGCAGGGAGCAACCGCGCGCACCGCGCAAGUCCUGCCCGCUGCGUGCGCAGCCUGCACCCACGGGCACAGCACGGGCCCGGCCCGCUGCGGGCGCGGGCGAGCACCUGAUAGCAGUGAGUGGGGCUUGCGGGCCUGGCCCAGUCCGCCGCGAGCUGCGGGCGGGUUUGCAGGCCCGACCCGGCCUGCUGCGCGCAGGGAAGUGACCCUGUGUGCCCGGCCCGGCUCGCAGCGCAGCGUAUUUUUUUUAAAUAUAUUUUUUAUUUCCUACGUGGUUUUUUUUUGGGAUAUAUAUAUAUAUUUUUUGCUUGUAUGCCAUGCAUGUGUUGUUUGUUUAAUCUAUCCUAUGUGGAUGUUUUUUUUUCGCUUAUGCAGCGUGUGAUUGUAUAAAAUCUUUUGGCAUAUAAGUACUUAUGUUAUUUCUGUGUUCUUUCAACAAAAUUUAAUUUUGGAAAAACGGGUUCGAUGUGUGCAGUAUUCCUGUAGAACAUUCCUUUUUCUGAUGUACAUCUUGUAGUGAUGUAGUAGGUUUUAAUUAUGCAAAAGUGAUGUAGUAAUUAAGGCCAUGUAAAGGAAUGUGUUUUGCGCAGCGUCGACGUUUUUCAAAUUAAAUUUUGGCAUAAGUACUUAAUUUUUAUCUGUGUGAUGAUAAUAUGAGAUAUGUUCUUAUUAAAUAAAUAUUUUUCAAGAAAAGGAUGUGUUCUUCAAAAUGGAUGAGUUCCAACUUUUGGAUAAGUUUCAAAAUUAAUAGAAAAUUAAUAAGAUUGUAAUAUUUUGAACCGACACUGGGUGAUGAUUACAAGCAUAGCGAAGUUUUCGAUCCCGUUGUGUCGAGAAUAAUGUUUCAAUCUUAUUAAUUUUUUUUUGGAAUAUGUGCCUAAUGUCCAAACCUAUUUUUUUGAAUGUAGUGAAAUGACUUCCAAAAACAUCAUAGUCGAUCUCACCAGGGGUGAUAAGCUAGAUGGAAAGAACUAUGAUAUUUGGCAUAGGAAAAUGCAAUACCUGCUUAAUGAACAAGGGGUUCUUGAAACCCUUUCUGUCAAAAGAGUCAUGCCUGCCGAAGGCACAACUUCUGAGCAUGAAAAAGAGAUCUAUAAUAAAUGGAUUAAGGAGGAUCAAACUGCUCGGUACACUAUAUUGUGUGCCAUGCAAGAUGACCUCAUUGGACAGUUUGAGAUCUUUGAAACUGCCAAGGACAUAUGGGACAAUUUGAAGAUUACUGUUGGUCAAACUUCAUCUACGAGGCUACGUGCCUUAAAUCUCAAGUUUCUACAGUAUAUUAAAGACCCGAAAUAUUUAAUGGCUGAGUACCUCCGUGUGAUGAGCACCAUAAUUCGGGACCUUAAAAUUACUGAAAACGAGCUCAAUAAUGAGUAACAAUAAGUUCUAGCAGUGAUUUGUUCAUUGCUUGAUCCUGAAUGGUCCCAGAUGAAGUUUCUGAUGACGCAUAAUGAGAACAUUAAAACGUUUAAUGACAUCUCGCGUCAUCUCGAGUUCGAGGCAGAGCGCUUGGAAGCGAAUCGUUCUGUCGCUCUUGUUGCACGCUCCGAGAAGCGCAGUGGGAUCGCACCCAAACGCAAAAAGCAUCACAACAAUGGAGCGCAAAAGAAACGAAAUCGAGCUCCCUGUGGUGGAGUUGAAAAGCUUUGUAGAGCCAUUUUGACAGAGAUUGCCUCGAUAUUUUCUUUCAUUGUACUUUAUUUGGAUAUGGUACAUUAGUUGAUGGCUUCUUUAAAUUAGAUUUGGAGGAUGAUUCGUUUGCAUUUGCUUCUUCUUUUUCUUCUUCUUCUUCUAAUCUCUGUGAAGAAUCCGUUAAAUAGCAUGCCAGAUUAGGCCAUAUAGGUCAAGAAAGAAUGAAUAGACUGGCUCGAGAAGGCCUUUUGGGGUCUCUCGCCAAAGUUGACCUAUCUGUAUGCGAGCCUUGUCUGGCUGGGAAGGCAAGUAGAAAGCCUUUCGGUAAGGCUACUCGUGCCUCUCAUAUUUUAGAGCUAAUCCACUCAGACAUUUGUGGGCCAAUGAAUGUGAGGGCCCGGCUUGGUGCUGGCUAUUUUCUCACAUUCAUUGAUGAUUAUUCCAGUUAUGGAUAUGUGUAUUUGCUUUCUCGCUGAUCUGAAGCUUUAGAUUGCUUCAAGCAUUUUGUUGCAGAGGCUGAGAAUCAAAUAGAAAAAAGUAUAAAGGUGCUUCGCACUGACCGAAGUCGUGAGUACUUGUCUGAUCAGUUCAAGACUUAUUGUGAGCAAAAGGGCAUUAGUAGACAGCUCACUAUUCCUGGUACUCCGCAACAAAAUGGCGUUGCAGAGUGAAGGAACCGUACUCUAUUAGACAUGGUUAGGUCGAUAAUGGCGCAAGUGCAACUUUCCAUAAAUUUUUGGGGAGAUGCUNUAAAACUCUACCUUUACGUCGUGAUUCACAUUGUGAGCAAUUUUCCAAAAUCUUCGAAAUCUUGAAUUCUUCAAUCUUCAUCAAUCAGCUUCGAUCCUUCAAGACUACGACUCACUUCACGAAACUUGCCAAUACAAAGUUCUUAACACUUAUGACGCACAAUGAGAACAUUAAAAUAUUUAAUGACAUCUCGCGUCAUCUCGAGCUCGAGGCAGAGCGCUUGGAAGCGAAUCGUUCUGUCGCUCUUGUUGCACGCUCCGAGAAGCGCAGUGGGAUCGCACCCAACCGCAAAAAGCAUCACAACAAUGGAGCGCAGAAGAAACGAAAUCGAGCUCCCUGUGGUGGAGUUGAAAAGCUUUGUAGAGCCAUUUUGACAGAGAUUGCCUCGAUAUUUUCUUUCAUUGUACUUUAUUUGGAUAUGAUACAUUAGUUGAUGGCUUCUUUAAAUUAGAUUUGGAGGAUGAUUCGUUUGCAUUUGCUUCUUCUUCUUCUUCUUCUUCUUCUUCUUCUUCUAAUCUCUGUGAAGAAUCCGUUAAAUGGCAUGCCAGAUUAGGCCAUAUAGGUCAAGAAAGAAUGAACAGACUGGCUCGAGAAGGCCUUUUGGGGUCUCUCGCCAAAGUUGACCUAUCUGUGUACGAGCCUUGUCUGGCUGGAAAGGCAAGUAGAAAGCCUUUCGGUAAGGCUACUCGUGCCUCUCAUAUUUUAGAGCUAAUCCACUCAGACAUUUGUGGGCCAAUGAAUGUGAGGGCCCGGCUUGGUGCUGGCUAUUUUCUCACAUUCAUUGAUGAUUAUUUCAGUUAUGGAUAUGUGUAUUUGCUUUCUCGCUGAUCUGAAGCUUUAGAUUGCUUCAAGCAUUUUGUUGUAGAGGCUGAGAAUCAAAUAGAAAAAAGUAUAAAGGUGCUUCGCACUAACCGAAGUCGUGAGUACUUAUCUGAUCAGUUCAAGACUUAUUGUGAGCAAAAGGGCAUUAGUAGACAGCUCACUAUUCCUGGUACUCCGCAACAAAAUGGUGUUGCAGAGCGAAGGAACCGUACUCUAUUAGACAUGGUUAGGUCAAUGAUGGCGCAAGUGCAACUUUCCAUAAAUUUUUGGGGAGAUGCACUUUUGACUGCAGCCUACAUCCUUAAUCGAGUUCCUAGCAAAUCAGUGCCUACUACCCCAUAUGAGUUGUGGAACGGUAGAAAGCCAAGUUUACACUACUUACGCCCUUGGGGUUCAGCUGGAUAUGUUCACAGCCUCUCACAUAAAUUCGGGAAACUCGGCUCUAGAGCGAGCAAGCAUGUGUUCAUCAGAUACUCUGAAAAUUCGAAGGGCUAUGUGAUGUAUGGUGUACACCCAGAUGGUGGUAUGACCGAGAUUGAGUCUCGUGAUGUGGAAUUCCUAAAAGGGGAUUUUCCAAGCAUUGGUGAAAUGCGAAGAGAUGUCGCAUUGUAUGAGUUACAGGACGACGCUACCCUAUCUGCUAUUGAGGGUGAUCGAUCACUUCCCGAAGUCGCUGAAGGAAGUGGUGGCGAUCCUCCGGCUAGUGGGAGUGUUUCCUUGAAUGAGAGCAUACCCUUGGAAGUCGGCAGUUCAGACCCUCCAUUACGUAGAAGUGAACGUGGACAUAUUCCCCAUCGACAUUUUGAAAUCGAAAGGGAUAUUUUCAUGUGCACUCCGCUCGAUGAUGAUGAACCUGCUUUUUAUAAAAAAGCACUACAGACGUCAACUGGCAGUGAGUGGAUGGCUGCUAUGAAAGAUAAGAUGGACUCCAUGAGCAAGAACCAAGUAUGGGAAUUAGUUGACCUUCCGCCUGGGCACAAGUCUAUUGGAAAUAAAUGGUUUUUAAAAUUAAGCGCAAGGCAGAUGGAUCAAUCGAUAAAUACAAGGCUCGGCUCGUGGCCAAGGGUUACGCUUAGAGGCAAGGGGUAGAUUACAACGAGACGUUUGCUCCCGUUGUGCGAUUUGCCUCUGUUCGUUUGAUUCUAGCCUUAGUGGCACACCUAGAUUUGGAAUUGUUCCAAACGGAUGUCAAGACAGCUUUUCUCAAUGGAGAAUUAGUGGAGGAGAUCUAUAUGGAUCAACCUGAGGGUUUUGUACUCAAAGGUCAAGAAAAUAAAGUUUGUCGUCUUAAAAGAUCCAUCUAUGGUCUCAAGCAGUCGUCGAGACAAUGGUAUUUCAGGUUUCAUGAAGCCAUUACCUCUAUCGGUAUGUCCAUGAUAGAGGAGGACCACUGUGUAUAUGUCAAGAAGACAAAGAAUGAGAUUUUGUUUCUCUCUCUAUACGUCGACGAUAUACUAUUGGCUGGAAAUGAUAUGGAGUUAAUCAACACCACUAAGGAGUGGUUGUCUCUCAAUUUUGAAAUGAAAGACAUGGGUGAGGCGAGCUAUGUGCUCGGAGUAAAGGUCAUCCGUGAUCACUCUAGAAGGCUUCUUGGUUUGUCUCAAGAAUCUUAUAUUAAAAAGAUUCUAGAGCGUUUUAGGAUGUAUCAUUGUAAACCCAUUGAUACUCCAAUGGAGAAGAAUCAAACUCUGAGUCUUGAUCAGUGCCCUAAAACGGAUAAAGAAAAGGUGCAAAUGAGUAGGGUUCCUUAUGCGAGUGCAAUUAGCAGCUUGAUGUCCGCUAUGAUGUGUACUCGAUCUGACAUUUGCUUCGCUGUUGGUUUGGUAAGUCGUUACCAGAGCAACCCAGGACCCAUUCAUUGGCAAGCAGUUAAGAGAAUCCUUCGAUAUUUAAAAGAAACCAGUGAUCUCGUCCUAUGCUUUCAAGAUAGGGACUUGAUUUAAAGGAUAUAGCGAUACUAGUUAUGGCGAUGAGUGCAGGUCCACCUCAGGCUAUGUGUUUGGAGGCGGCGCAAUUUCCUAGUAUAGUAAGAAGCAAGGCUGCGUUACCUUGUCUACUAUGGAAGCGAAGUAUGUUGCUUGAUCAGCAGCCGUUUUAGGAGGCUGUUUGGCUGAGGAGAUUUCUUUAGUGAGUCGACUUUGUGAUUCGAGUUGAUGAACCUGUUGAGAUAUUCUCUGACAGCAUAGCUGCCAUGGAGUAUGUGAACGACUCCGAGUAUCAUGGCAGGACCAAGCAUAUUGAUAUCCAUUUUCACUACAUUCAAGAGAUGAUUAGGCUAGGCGAGGUCGUUCUUAGACAUAUCUCCACCACUAGGAUGGUGGCUGAUCCGUUGACCAAGCCGAUAGCUAGGGAUACAUUCCAGACCCACAUUAGGAGUUUGGGUCUUCGUAGGUUUUGAUAUAUGGACAUUAUUUUGUAUCUUACGCUUUAUUAUGAAAAUAUAUUUUUUUCCUUUUAAUGAGAUAGCAUAAUUGAUAUUAGUAGGCACAUAUUCGUUAAGUCACCAGGCUCAGAUCAGCCCACUCACACGGGUGAUUGCCCUGGCACCUAGGUGGUGAGCAGGAUGAGACUAGAUAAUCAUAUUACACUUUAGUAGUUGUAAUAUGAUUAUUUUGUUCAUAUAUGUUAUGAAUGAAGUGUUGAUAUAAUUUAAAGUCGUCUUAAUUAGUUUAAGAUGAGACUCUAGAGAGUUGGAUAUGAAAUUUUUUGUGGAAUUUCAUAUCGAGCCUGUUUAGUAGCCGAACCUAAGUACUCAGCUUAGAGAGAUGACUUGAGUUGUGGUGGUUAGAUACCUUAGUUGUACCUAGACCAAGGUUCGUAUGGCGUUUUAGAGCGUGACAUGGCCCAUUGACUGGGAGCUCCGCCAUAGCGUACAUAUCAUACUGUAUGUGCUUGUCGACCAGUUAGCAAAGUGACAUAAGUUCUUCCCUCCAUGUCACUGUGUGAGUACUAACCCUUUUGUGCCCUUGACUUAGAACUACAUUAUGAAGUGGAGAUCCAAAAUAACUAACUUAGUGUGUAUCUCAGGGUCAUGAGAAAAUACGAUCUCGCGGAGCAUGUCUAGUAAAGUGCUUGGACCAAUACGGAUUAACGUAAGGGGCUGAGGAAGAUGUUUCGAUAACACACCACGUAAGUCUUGUGACUCAUUGCCCGGGCGGUUAUCUCGGUUAUGUUACUUGAGAUAAUCACGAGUACGAGAAAUAACGGUGGGGUUGAGCCCUGUCAUUACAGGAGAGGAACUUUGUGAUACUUGAUUUAGUGUGUGUUGGAACGUCUAAGGCAUAGACGAAUUAAGUCAGUGAUGUGCUAUGUUAGUACGGUGGUGACUUAAUAUAGCACUCUUGCAUGUGUUUCUUUCGUCAGGUCGCACGCUCCAUUAUCCGUAUGAAGAGAUGAAUGAAUAAGAGAGAAUUGGCCAAUGUGGCCAAGUGGGAGAUUGUAGCUAUGUGGUGUGUCCACAUUGGCGGGUUUUAAUUUAACCCGAUCCACUUAAGAUGUGGAUUGGAAUUUAUCCUAAUAAGUUAAGGAUAAGAAUAAAUCAUAUGUUUCUUAUUAGUUAAAAAACGUAUCUACUAGUGGAUAUCUAUUAUAGGUUAAUAGAUAUCCUGAUACUUAUCCUAAUCUAUAUGAGAUUCAGGAUAUUUAGGGGUUCCUAUAUAUACGCCCCCUUUCCUCUCCAGUAAAAGAGACAAUCGCAUACGAUCAAAUUCGUAAGAACCCACAAAAUAUCUUCCUUAUUC
This 7989-nucleotide long non-coding RNA is filed under the name Ananas comosus (pineapple). RNAcentral's name for it is "long non-coding RNA (ACOM_LNC022400)". Lineage: Eukaryota; Viridiplantae; Streptophyta; Magnoliopsida; Poales; Bromeliaceae. The record is from RNAcentral.